GACGACAAACUAAGUUGGAAAGGGUGAUAAUAUUGGUACUUUUAUCAUAGAAAUAGGUGGUAAUAUUGGUACUAGCAAUAUGAGAUGCUCUUCACUUAUUAUUGUUUCUCCAGCAUAUUACCUCUAACCAUGGUGCCGUUGGAGAUUGGACUAGCAAAAACCCAAAAAGUGGAGAUUGAGAUGAAAGCAUGGCAUUGUGUGAAGAAAAGGGACCCCACGUUGAUGUUGAAAACUUCAUAUCUUUCUUUCUCUCUUACAAUGGAAAGACUGACUUUCUUAUAGUAAUAAUCAUGCACUCUUGAAAGCUUGAAGAGAAGCCAUAAGGGUAAGUAUAGUUGAAACUAAAGGCUCUAGUAAGGAUUUUUUUGGCUUUGUAAUGAAGAGUGAUAGUAGAAAGAGUGUUCUGAAAUGGAAGUUAUUAUUUUAGAAUAAAUGAAACGCGGUGGAUUUUGUGAAAGCAAGCUUCUUGGAGGAGCAAAUAUUGGACAGGUUUUGCAGCAAUCAUUACAAGCGCGAACACAACUCUUGUAACCUUGGUACCAGGUUGACAUAAGAAGAGCUUGAGUAAAGAGAAGGCCAUUAUUACACCUCUGAUUGUUGGCUCUUCAUAGGAUAAUGGUUUGAGCUUCAAGCUUCAUCUUCUCUUAUGUCUUAUGUUUGAUUAAUGAGCCACCCCACAGUGUUUCUCUUUUUUUUCUCUCUUUUUCCUUUCUAGAAGACUAUCUAUAUUAUCUUUCUCGUUUUGGGCACUUUUCACUCCUUGUUCUCUCCUUUCUUUCUCUUAUUUUGGU
Molecule: long non-coding RNA, 791 nt
Filed under: Lupinus angustifolius (narrow-leaved blue lupine)
Lineage: Eukaryota; Viridiplantae; Streptophyta; Magnoliopsida; Fabales; Fabaceae
Description: long non-coding RNA (LANG_LNC000847)
Source: RNAcentral